RNAcentral lists this ribosomal RNA (439 nucleotides) under uncultured bacterium. RNAcentral's name for it is "partial 16S ribosomal RNA". It matches the Rfam family "Bacterial small subunit ribosomal RNA", at positions 339 to 795 of the family's 1533-position model. The record is from RNAcentral.
CUACGGGACGCUCCAGUGGGGAAUCUUGCACAAUGGAGGAAACUCUGAUGCAGCGAUGCCGCGUGAGUGAAGAAGGCCCUUGGGUUGUAAAGCUCUUUUGUCGGGAAAGAUAAUGACUGUACCCGAAGAAUAAGGUCCGGCUAACUUCGUGCCAGCAGCCGCGGUAAUACGAAGGGACCUAGCGUAAUUCGGAAUUACUGGGCGUAAAGCGCGCGUAGGCGGUUAAGUAAGUUAAUUGUGAAAGCCCAAAGCUCAACUUUGGAAUUGCAAUUAAAACUACUUAGCUAGAGUUUAUCAGAGGAAAGCGGAAUACAUAGUGUAGAGGUGAAAUUCGUAGAUAUUAUGUAGAACACCAGUUGCGAAGGCGGCUUUCUGGGAUAACACUGACGCUGAGGUGCGAAAGUAUGGGUAGCGAAGAGGAUUAGAUACCCUAGUAGUC